CCUACGUGUGGCAGCAGUAGGGAAUUUUGCGCAAUGGGGGAAACCCUGACGCAGCAACGCCGCGUGAAGGAAGAAGGCUUUCUGGUUGUAAACUUCUUUUAAUGGGGAAGAGCAGAAGACGGUACCCCUUGAAUAAGCCACGGCUAACUACGUGCCAGCAGCCGCGGUAAUACGUAGGUGGCAAGCGUUUUCCGGAUUUACUGGGUGUAACGGGCGUGCAGCCGGGGAGACAAGGCAGAUGUGAAAUCCACGGGCUCAACCCGUGAACUGCAUUUGAAACUGUCUCCCUUGAGUGUCGGAGAGGUAAUCGGAAUUCGGUGUGUAGCGGUGAAAUGCGUAGAUAUAAGGAAGAACACCAGUGGCGAAGGCGGAUUACUGGACGAUAACUGACGGUGAGGCGCGAAAGCGUGGGGAGCAAACAGGAUUAGAUACCCUUGUAGUC
Molecule: ribosomal RNA, 442 nt
Filed under: uncultured bacterium
Lineage: Bacteria
Description: partial 16S ribosomal RNA
Rfam family: Bacterial small subunit ribosomal RNA
Source: RNAcentral